Molecule: ribosomal RNA, 482 nt
Filed under: uncultured bacterium
Lineage: Bacteria
Description: partial 16S ribosomal RNA
Rfam family: Bacterial small subunit ribosomal RNA
Source: RNAcentral
AUUGAACGCUGGCGGCAUGCCUUACACAUGCAAGUCGAACGGUAACAGGUCUUCGGAUGCUGACGAGUGGCGAACGGGUGAGUAAUACAUCGGAACGUGCCCGAUCGUGGGGGAUAACGAGGCGAAAGCUUUGCUAAUACCGCAUACGAUCUACGGAUGAAAGCAGGGGACCGCAAGGCCUUGCGCGAACGGAGCGGCCGAUGGCAGAUUAGGUAGUUGGUGGGAUAAAAGCUUACCAAGCCGACGAUCUGUAGCUGGUCUGAGAGGACGACCAGCCACACUGGGACUGAGACACGGCCCAGACUCCUACGGGAGGCAGCAGUGGGGAAUUUUGGACAAUGGGCGAAAGCCUGAUCCAGCCAUGCCGCGUGCAGGAUGAAGGCCUUCGGGUUGUAAACUGCUUUUGUACGGAACGAAAAGACUCUGGUUAAUACCUGGGGUCCAUGACGGUACCGUAAGAAUAAGCACCGGCUAACUACGUG